RNAcentral lists this transfer RNA (61 nucleotides) under Chloroflexota bacterium. Its description in RNAcentral is "tRNA-Ala". It matches the Rfam family "tRNA", at positions 9 to 71 of the family's 71-position model. From Rfam's summary of the family: Transfer RNA (tRNA) molecules are approximately 80 nucleotides in length. Their secondary structure includes four short double-helical elements and three loops (D, anti-codon, and T loops). Lineage: Bacteria; Bacillati; Chloroflexota. RNAcentral also lists the same sequence under 1 other name. The record is from RNAcentral.
AGCAAAGCAUCGUGCCGCCUUUGCACGGCGGAGGUCAGGGGUUCGACUCCCCUCGGCUCCA